Molecule: ribosomal RNA, 779 nt
Filed under: uncultured bacterium
Lineage: Bacteria
Description: bacterial SSU rRNA
Rfam family: Bacterial small subunit ribosomal RNA
Source: RNAcentral
CAGUCGAACGAAGCACUCUAUUUGAUUUUCUUCGGAAAUGAAGAUUUUGUGACCGAUUGGCGGACGGGUGAGUAACGCGUGGGUAACCUGCCUCAUACAGGGGGAUAACAGUUGGAAACGACUGCUAAUACCGCAUAAGCGCACAGGAUCGCAUGAUCCGGUGUGAAAAACUCCGGUGGUAUGAGAUGGACCCGCGUCUGAUUAGCCAGUUGGCAGGGCAACGGCCUACCAAAGCGACGAUCAGUAGCCGACCUGAGAGGGUGACCGGCCACAUUGGGACUGAGACACGGCCCAAACUCCUACGGGAGGCAGCAGUGGGGAAUAUUGCACAAUGGGGGAAACCCUGAUGCAGCGACGCCGCGUGAGCGAAGAAGUAUUUCGGUACGUAAAGCUCUAUCAGCAGGGAAGAUAGUGACGGUACCUGACUAAGAAGCUCCGGCUAAAUACGUGCCAGCAGCCGCGGUAAUACGUAUGGAGCAAGCGUUAUCCGGAUUUACUGGGUGUAAAGGGAGUGUAGGUGGCAUCACAAGUCAGAAGUGAAAGCCCGGGGCUCAACCCCGGGACUGCUUUUGAAGCUGUGGAGCUGGAGUGCAGGAGAGGCAAGUGGAAUUCCUAGUGUAGCGGUGAAAUGCGUAGAUAUAUGGAGGAACACCAGUGGCGAAGGCGACGAUCUGGCGCAUAACUGACGCUCAGUCCCGAAAGCGUGGGGAGCAAAUAGGAUUAGAUACCCUAGUAGUCCACGCCGUANACGAUGAGUACUAAGUGUUGGGAGUNAAAUC